Apteryx owenii (little spotted kiwi) is the source of this 1962-nucleotide long non-coding RNA. The record is from Ensembl. Lineage: Eukaryota; Metazoa; Chordata; Aves; Apterygiformes; Apterygidae.
ACCGUUUUUAUGGGUUUCCCUGUUGCCGUUUCCGAUCUAGACGACAUCAUAAAACGCCACAAGAAAGAGCAGAGCGAUGCCCAGGCGGCAGGGAACAGGCGGAGGCAGCAGGUGAAGAACAGGAAUUCGGCGUACGGCUACGGGCGGCCCCGCUUCCGCACCUGGAUGCAGAGGAAUUUGCAAGGACCUAACCGCUUCAGAAGAGGCUUUGGGCAACAACAGUACAAUAGAAGGCAAUUCAGGAAUACUGUGCCCGGUCCCCGGAGAAGAGCAGCUGCCGCAUUAAAUGGAGUGAGCCCUCUGAAUCGCCAGGCGUCCGCUCAAGAGGGUCACAAGAGCGACGACGCUUUCGCCAAAAGCGGUAGCAGCGGGCAGCAGCCGGAGGCGCGGAGGCGGCCGCCGCUGGGCCCCAAGGGAUUCGGAGCAGCAGCUGCCGGCACCCACGCCGCGGGGAGAAGCAGGCCUUUCGUGCUGAACAGGGGACCAGGCUUCCAGCAGAAACGGAUGCAGCAGCGCUACUCCAAGGCCAACUUCCAGAGAGGGCAGAUGAAUGCAGUUGGAGACGGGAAACGACCGAGGAUGAGAAGGUGGCAAGUGAAACCCAGCCCCGGAGCAGUCCUGACGGUUUCUGUGGCUAACCCCCAGGCGAGCCAGAGCAGCGCGCCCGGAGGCAAGCGGCCGUUCCUGCGGAGCCCGAGGCCCCCGCCGCGGGCGGCCAAGCCCCAGCCGAAGGGAGUGCUGCUGCGGUUCAACUUCCGCGCCAUGGCCAACCAGACCAGCCUGACGCUGGAUGAGAGGUUCUCUGGUCUGAGGAAUAAGCGGCGCUUUACAGCGGCGAGGAACGCUGGCCGGACGGUCACCAUGCCUUAGCACCGCGCGCUCGGCACGGGGACGGCCCGCAGCGGUCCGGGCCCCGGAACGGGCGGCUCAAUACAACUCCAUAGAUUUCCUCCGAGAUAGCUAAUUUGGCAACGUGCCCUCUCCUUCCUUACACCCAGAGCGAGCGAGCUGAGCGAGGGCAGGGACGAGGCAGCCAGAAAUGCAGGGCCAGGGCACGGGGCAGGGGGGGCCGUGCACGGGGAGGGGGCAUGAGCGGAGCCGAAUGUGCUUCCCGGGGGUAGGGCGAGAGGAAAGGGGGGGAGCAGCUUCACGACGUGCCCGUGGAGCCCUUCCCUGGGUCGCGUCGCGAGCGAGCGCAGGAUCGAUGCCGCCGCGUCGGCUCUUCCGCCCCGUUGGGAGGCCAAACGGGGAGAGGAGCGUGGGAAGGGGAUGCUCCGUUCCCCAGCUUCCACCCCAAUGCCUUAUUUCUGGCAUGUGCCGGGGUCCCUGCCCUAAAGUUUGCUGUGUACAACCCUGCUCCUGAAAACGUCUCUCCCUGCCCGCCUGGUCAGUCCUUGCGUUUCUGUUCCGGCCGUUCUGCCGGCCCGGUUUCGGGGAUGGGGUAAGGAGUGCAUGCUGUUGGCGUGGCUUUCCCUGCCGUGGAGCAAAGACAGGCUGCCCCGCUCCGGAGGAGCUUUUCCAGUGCUGCGGUACGUCUGCAUUAGGGCUUUCGUAGGUGCAGCUCCAGCCCCGCUCGGAGCAGCAGCGUAAUCGCACUAGCGCUUGCGGGAAGGAGGCCAGGCUACACCGCAGCCCGAGAAAAAUUGGCUGAGAAGCUCAUGAGCUGGAUCUAGACAUUUGUUAACUAAGCCCUGCACCAGCCGUGAGUCACUAAUCCGUUUUCCACCCGCUGCUGCAACCCAACACUGUGAACGCACUGGACACAGCCUGUUCCUGCGCCCUAAGCUAUACUUAUAAUAUAAAAAAAUAUUUGAUAGAUCGCUUUACGUUUUACACCGAGUGUCUUUAACAGGAGACUGGACUUGGAGUGGGUUUUGUAGGAAUUCGUGAAAUGUUAUUAGUUUACUAAGCGGUGAUGUACGAGUCCAACGCACUGAAUAAAAAAAAAAAAUAAAAAAAACA